AUGACCAUCGUAGUCACCAAAUCAUCGCCGGUGGCGGUCACGGGCCCGGAGAAGCUGGGGACGGCGCGCCGUGGGAUCAUCAACCUCUCCUCUUUUGAUAAGUGUUUGGCUCCAAUUCCUGUCUCGCUGCUCCUCAUCUUCGAUCAGCCAAUCGACGACCCUGUUGAGACAAUCAAGAAGGCCCUGUCGCAGGCACUGGUGCUCUACUACCCUAUGGCUGGCCGCCUCGUCGCUGGACCCGACGGGGCGCCGAACCACAUCUCGUGCUCCGGGGAGGGCGUCUCGUUCGUGGGCGCGCUGGCGAGCUGUGUGCUGGACCAAUUCACGACGUGGCCGCUGCUCGCCGGACAGCUCGCCCCCCGCUACCCUGCCGAGUACUGCCGCUCAGACGACGCCAUGCUGCUGAUGCAGGUGACCGAGUUCGCCUGCGGCGGGUUCGUCGUGGGCGUGACGUGGAACCACGUCAUGGCCGACGCCGCGGGGAUGGCGCAGUUCCUGCAGGCCGUCGGCGAGCUUGCCCGUGGGAUGCCAGCGCCGUCCGUCGUGCCUGUCAGGUCCCAAGUGCUGCCCUGCCUCCCGCCCAAGAUGGUCGCCGCAGCGAGGUCUCGGAUCCGUGUCGGAACGGAGGAAAUGACAAGCCUGGACGUCACCGUCUCAUGGAGCCUGAUUGCCCACAUCAGGGCCGAGUGCGGCGGCACGGUGUUCGACGCUGUCGCGGCCGUGCUCUGGCAGUGCCGCACCCGUGCUGUCAUCUUCGAACCCGAUACGCCUGUGCCUCUCGUCUUCGCGAGCAACAUGCGCGGGCUUGUGGGCGCCAAGCGCGGCUACUACCGAAACUGCAUCAUGCGGCAGCCGGUCAUGGCCAUGAGCGGCACAGUGGCAUGCGGCGACGUCAAGGAGCUGGUGAAGCUCAUCAGGCUCGCCAAGGAAAAGACGCCGGGCCUGCUCACGAACGGCGGCGGUGGGGAUAUGCUGCAGCCGACCACGCCCCCUCCGAGGUACAACACGCUGGUUGUGACGAGCUUGAGGAACCUUGGGUUCGACGAGGUGGACUUCGGGCGUGGGCAUCCGGCGCGGGUGAUGCCGCCGCUGGGCAAGGUCGUGCGGACGGCGACAAACCCCUGCGUUCUAUGCCCGCCAUGCAUGGCAAAGGACGGCAUCAACGUCAUGUCCUUCUGUGUGAAGCCGGAGCACGCCGAUGGCUUCUUACGGGAGUUGGCCGCGAUGCACAUGCACAUGCACGCGCGUUUAUAG
This 1254-nucleotide ribosomal RNA is filed under the name Triticum aestivum (bread wheat). RNAcentral describes it as "partial small subunit ribosomal RNA". Lineage: Eukaryota; Viridiplantae; Streptophyta; Magnoliopsida; Poales; Poaceae. The record is from RNAcentral.